This 2759-nucleotide long non-coding RNA is filed under the name Pan troglodytes (chimpanzee). RNAcentral's name for it is "lincRNA". The record is from RNAcentral. Lineage: Eukaryota; Metazoa; Chordata; Mammalia; Primates; Hominidae.
UUUUGUGUGUGUGUGUAGAAAGACCUUUAAUACUUCUGUUUACAAAAUUCAGGCAUACAUUUCAGUUUGCCCUGACCCGUGCCCAGGGCUGUGUGCUCAUCUCUGCCAGGAUGUCUGUGCCCUCAUGUACUGCUGACGAGGAGGGUGCAGAGCAGAGCCUGGGGUCUGGAGGCUUCGCUGGGCCUCAGGGGGAGGGGAAUGUGAAUGUGGCCCAGCCCAGAGGACCCUCCAUUUCAUCAAUUUUGGAUUGGGCAACAGAGGAAGCAGAUGUCUGGGCUGCAGACCUGCUGGUCUGGGCAGGGGUUUGGGAACCCCAGGGUUGCCUGCCAUGGUCUAGAGGAGAUGGCUGCGGCUACUUCCCACAGGGUGGGGUGGCAGAAGCUCGGCAAGGGGAGGCCUGGCCACUAGGGGCUUGAAGAUUUGCUCACUGGAGCCUUUGUGCUUGGCCCUCAGCAGCACAGCUGGGGCUGUGGUCCCGUGCAAGGUGUGCUGAGGGUUGUGUAGGUGGCUGGUGGUGGCAGCUUGUGCCAGAGUGACACAGGCUUCCGUGGGCCUGGCUGGGGGCAGUUAAAAAGCCGAAAAGGUACUUGGCUUUGUGAGGGCAAGGCUUGGGAGGCGGGGCCCUGCAGGACGUCAUGUUCUCUGUCCUGGUUAGGAGGGGGGAGGUGGGGGGGGGGAAGGUGGGGCAGAUCCCAACUGGCCCCUGUCCCUGGGCUGCAAGCUGACAGCAGGCCAGGGAAGCAGUGAGGCCCUCUGCCCUGGCCUUGGGGAGAAGGAGUGCAUGUGUGAGGCUGGGAUACAGUGGCCCUGGAGUGGGGCUAGGGCUCAUCGCCAGCACCAGGCGCGGGGAGGAUUUAAAACCAGAGUCCUGUCUCUGAGCCACCCCACAGGGACGCUUGAUCCAAGCCUGUUAAGGCCGUGGAACUCGAGGGUAGGCAGUGGGCUGGGCCACCGUGGGUCAGGAUGGAGGUGUGGGGGCUGCCCUGGAGGAACAUUAGUGUUUCUGAGAGCACCUUAGUGUUGCUCUGCCUCAGCCAGCUGGGCGAGGAGUUGGGGAGUGGGCAGGAGGCCGGCGCCAUGGAGUGGGGAAGGGAGCCGUCACCGUUGGGGAUCAGCCGCUAGUGUAAACAAGUGUCUCCACCCACCCAGAUAAGCCCCCCACCCAAGUGUGGGGCCCUGCUCAGGGAGUACCUCAAGGGCCCCGGCCUGGGUGGCGCCAGCAGGCUUGGACACUGCCCUGGCAGCAGGGGCCCCGUGGAAGGCAGGAUACCCAGCAGGGGGUGCCACCCAGUGUGGAUGGAGGGGCAGGGUGGGGGCGCCCCUGAGUCACUGGGCAGAGGCACGAGCACGUCCACAUAGCUGAGCAGGAAGAAGCCCGACUGGCCAUCCAGCAUGCCGUCCUAUCAGUUCUCGUUCAUCUGGUUGAUCAGCAUGAAGACAUCGCCCUCAUGGAAGCCCAGCUCCCUAUCUUUCUCCGGCUCCAAGUCAUACAGCCUUUGCAGCUCGGCUGGUCUAGGGGCGGCAUGCUCCUGCUAGGAGUCCAGAUGGACUUGUCGUAAGAUCGGAAAGAGGACGAAGCUGCGAUCUUGGGGACUGUGGUGCAGGGGAAGCCCCGGUUGGACUGCUCAGGCUUUCCGAGGUCAAAGCACUCCCGGGGCUUGGGCUUAUACUCCCGCCUGGGUCGUGAGGAAGCUUCCCGGAUCCUGCACUUGAGCUUCUGGGCCAGCUCGUCCAGGAUCUGCACGACCUGCCGGUGGUAGUCCAGCUGCGCCUCCGCCAAGGCCGGGAGUUGACUCACCUACUGGAUGUCGGUCUCCAGGAGGUUGUGCAUGCUGGUUUCUGCCACCUCCUUGGACUCCUCAAACUUCUGCAGCGCCUGGUGCAGCUCCUCUUCGGGGAUCUUGCCCUGCCGCUUCUUUUAGUCAAAGUCCAGGCGGCGGCCCUCCAGCUUCUGCAGGUGGUGCUGGAUCUCCUUCAGGUCUUUCUCACAUAGGUUCUGGAGGGGGUCAAUGAAGUUAUGCUUGACCUCUAUGUCCAGGGAGUCCUUCACCUCUGCCAGGUGCUUCAUGGGCUCGCCGGCAUCCAGCAGUGCAUCGCUGAAGUUGGACUCGUCGCGCAGCUCCUUCCCAUGGCGGAUCAGGCACUCGCCCAGGAGCCCCCCUGACUGCAGGUAGCCGGGGUUCUUCACCUGGCCCCGGAUCUUGCACGCUGUGUUGUGCAUGGUCAGUUUAGCCUGCGAGGCUGGGUUGGGCUGCGGGUACUCGAUGGUCCUGGCCAGCACUUAGGUCACCGCCUUGCUGAUGACAUCCACCUUCUUCUCCAUCUCUUUGAAGUCAUCAUCCAGCUUGGUCCCCUCAGCCCCUCCGACCUUCUCACUGACCAGUUGGCUCGCCUUGUAGAACUGCUUCUUCAGCCCGGCAACCGACAUGCUGCCUCCUGCCGCGGAACCUUCCGCCCAGACCCCCCUGCCCAGACCCCGCCAGCGACAGGCUCCCGGGCACCACCAACCCUCUGCGCGCCUCAGCGGCCCCCAUCAGCACCGCCUCCACCACCCGCUUGCCAGCUCGGCGCCCGUCCCGGCGCCGCCUCAAGUUCAUGAUUCUUUAGUCUCCUUCAAUCUAGAUCUGUUCCCAGGAUUGUUUAAAAGCAUACUGACAAACCUUUGAGACUGUAAAUGACCUGAGGUAUACAUUGUCUUUACUUGAGAAUAGUAAUUUUUCAAUAUGCAUUAAAGAUCAUUACACAUGAGCUAAGACAAA